GACAGAGGGUGCAAACGUUGCUCGGAAUCAUUGGGCGUAAAGGGUGCGUAGGCGGCGCGGUAAGUCGGGUGUGAAAUCUCGGAGCUUAACUCCGAAACUGCAUUCGAUACUGCCGUGCUUGAGGACUGGAGAGGAGACUGGAAUUUACGGUGUAGCGGUGAAAUGCGUAGAUAUCGUAAGGAAGACCAGUGGCGAAGGCGGGUCUCUGGACAGUUCCUGAUGCUGAGGCACGAAGGUCAGGGGAGCAAACGGG
RNAcentral lists this ribosomal RNA (253 nucleotides) under uncultured bacterium. RNAcentral describes it as "partial 16S ribosomal RNA". It matches the Rfam family "Bacterial small subunit ribosomal RNA", at positions 524 to 776 of the family's 1533-position model. The record is from RNAcentral.